Zonotrichia albicollis (white-throated sparrow) is the source of this 7048-nucleotide non-coding RNA. The record is from RefSeq and is a predicted model, not a curated record. NCBI's taxonomy places the organism in Eukaryota, Metazoa, Chordata, Aves, Passeriformes, Passerellidae.
AGGCGGCGGCGACAGCGGAGGGAGGGCGCGGCACUGCCGAGGGAGCCCCGCCGCGGGGGCCGCGACCCGCGCCGCCGGGGAUGCUGCGCUGGGUCCGGCAGCAGCUGGGUUUUGACCCACCGCAUCAAAGCGACACAAGAACUAUUUAUAUAGCAAACCGUUUUCCCCAGCAUGGCCAUUAUGUUCCUCAGAAGUUUGCAGACAACAGAAUCAUAUCAUCCAAGUAUACAGUGUGGAAUUUUGUUCCAAAAAACUUAUUUGAGCAGUUCAGAAGAGUAGCCAACUUUUAUUUUCUGAUUAUAUUUUUGGUUCAGCUCAUGAUAGAUACCCCUACCAGUCCUAUUACCAGUGGAUUGCCAUUAUUCUUUGUCAUAACUGUGACAGCCAUAAAACAGGGCUAUGAGGACUGGCUGCGACAUAAAGCAGACAAUGAAGUUAACGGUGCUCCAGUUUAUGUUGUUCGAAGUGGUGGCCUUGUGAAAACCAGAUCUAAAAACAUUCGGGUGGGGGACAUUGUCAGAGUAGCCAAAGAUGAGACUUUCCCUGUUGAUCUGGUGCUCCUGUCAUCUGACCGAGUGGACGGUUCAUGCCACGUUACCACUGCAAGUUUGGAUGGAGAGACCAAUCUUAAGACACAUGUUGCAGUCCCAGAAACAGCAGUGCUGCAGUCUGUUGCCAACCUGGACAAACUGGUAGCUGUUAUAGAAUGUCAGCAGCCAGAAGCAGAUCUGUACAGAUUUGUUGGAAGAAUAACUGUAAGUCAACAAGCUGAAGAAAUAGUACGACCUCUUGGGCCUGAAAGUCUCUUACUUCGUGGAGCAAGAUUAAAAAACACUAAAGAAAUAUUUGGUGUUGCUGUGUAUACAGGUAUGGAGACAAAGAUGGCAUUAAAUUACAAGAGUAAAUCUCAGAAACGGUCAGCAGUAGAAAAGUCCAUGAAUUCCUUUUUGAUUAUUUAUCUAAUAAUCCUCCUCUUUGAAGCCAUUCUGAGCACUAUUUUAAAGUAUGCAUGGCAAGCUGAAGAGAAAUGGGAUGAGCCUUGGUAUAAUGAAAAAACAGAGCAUGAAAGAAACAGCAGUAAGAUCCUGAGAUUUAUUUCAGAUUUUCUUGCUUUUCUGGUACUUUACAAUUUUAUCAUACCCAUUUCACUCUAUGUGACUGUUGAGAUGCAGAAAUUUCUUGGGUCUUUUUUUAUUGGCUGGGAUCUUGACCUCUAUCAUGAAGAAACAAACCAGAGAGCACAAGUAAAUACUUCAGACCUCAAUGAGGAAUUGGGACAGGUAGAGUAUGUGUUUACAGACAAAACUGGCACAUUAACUGAAAAUGAGAUGCAGUUUCGGGAGUGCUCUAUUAAUGGCAUAAAGUACCAAGAGGUCAAUGGUAAACUAACUCCAGAGGGAUUUUCUGAAGAUUCUCCUGAUGGAAAUAGGCAUGGUUUGGUGAAAGAGGAAGAGCUCUUCUUGAAAGCAGUUUGUCUGUGCCAUACAGUGCAGAUCAAUGCAGAUCAGACAGAUGGUGCUGAUGGUCCCUGGCAUGCCAAUGGAAUAACAUCCCCCCUGGAAUAUUAUGCUUCUUCUCCAGAUGAGAAGGCUUUGGUGGAAGCUGCGAGCCGGGUUGGAGUAGUAUUUACUGGAAUUAGUGGAGACAGUAUGGAAGUAAAAAGUCUUGGAAAACCAGAGAGGUAUAAAUUGCUUCAUGUUUUGGAGUUUGAUCCAAAUCGCAGACGAAUGAGUGUCAUUGUAGAGAGUCCCUCAGGGGAGAAGCUUUUAUUCACAAAGGGAGCAGAAUCUUCCAUUCUUCCUCGCAGUAAGAGUGGAGAAAUAGAUAAAACAAGGAUACAUGUGGAUGAAUUUGCUUUGAAAGGCCUAAGAACUUUGUGUGUGGCCUACAGAAGAUUCACACCUGAGGAGUACCAAGAAAUUGGCAAACGCCUUCAUGAGGCCAGGACUGCCUUACAGCAGCGGGAAGAGAAAUUAGCAGAUGUGUUCAACUUCAUAGAAAGGGAUCUGGAGUUGCUUGGGGCUACAGGAGUAGAAGACAAACUGCAGGAGAAAGUCCAAGAAACUAUAGAAGCCCUCAGGCUGGCUGGUAUCAAAGUGUGGGUGCUCACUGGAGACAAGCACGAAACAGCUGUUAGUGUCAGUUUAUCCUGUGGACACUUUCACAGAACCAUGAACAUCCUUGAGCUUGUGCAGCACAAGUCAGACAGUACCUGUGCAGAACAGCUGAGGCAGCUAGCCAAGAGAAUAAAGGAAGACCAUGUUAUCCAGCAUGGACUGGUUGUGGAUGGGACCAGCCUCUCUCUUGCACUCAGGGAACAUGAAAAACUGUUCAUGGAAGUUUGCAAAAACUGUUCUGCAGUGUUGUGCUGUCGCAUGGCACCCCUUCAGAAAGCAAAGGUGGUUCGACUGUUAAAAACCUCUCCGGAGAAGCCCAUAACGUUGGCGAUCGGGGAUGGUGCUAAUGAUGUGAGCAUGAUCCAGGAGGCACAUGUUGGCAUAGGAAUCAUGGGCAAGGAAGGAAGGCAAGCUGUAAGAAACAGUGACUAUGCAAUAGCACGAUUUAAAUUCCUCUCCAAGUUGCUUUUUGUUCAUGGGCACUUUUACUAUAUUAGAAUAGCAACCCUUGUACAGUACUUUUUUUAUAAGAAUGUGUGCUUUAUUACACCACAAUUUUUAUAUCAGUUCUUCUGUUUGUUUUCACAACAAACGCUCUAUGACAGUGUAUACCUGACUUUGUACAAUAUUUGUUUCACUUCCCUGCCUGUCCUCAUCUACAGUCUUUUUGAGCAGCAUGUGCACCCGCAUGUAUUGCAGAGUAAACCUGUGCUCUACAGAGACAUCAGUAAAAAUGCCCAUCUGGGGUUUAAACCAUUUCUUUACUGGACCAUCUUGGGCUUCUUUCAUGCAUUUGUUUUCUUUUAUGGCUCGUAUCUUCUAAUGGGAGAAGACACUUCUCUGCUGGGAAAUGGCCAGAUAUUGAAACCUAACAGGCAAAUGAUGUUUGGGAACUGGACAUUUGGUACUUUGGUCUUCACCGUUAUGGUUAUAACUGUUACGAUGAAGAUGGCACUAGAAACUCACUUCUGGACAUGGAUAAACCAUUUUGUUACUUGGGGAUCCAUUGUAUUUUAUUUCAUAUUCUCCUUGUUUUAUGGGGGAAUUAUCUGGCCAUUUUUACAUACCCAGGACAUGUACUUUGUAUUUGUUCAGCUGUUGUCAAGUGGUUCUGCUUGGUUUGCCAUAAUCCUCAUAGUAGUUGCUUGUUUGUUUAUUGAUGUUGUGAAGAAAGUGCUGUACAGACAUCUGCAACCAACAAGUACUGAAAAAGCUCAGCUUACUGAGGCAGGUUCAGGUAUCAACUGCUUGGACUCCAUGUGCUGCUUCUCAGAUGGGGAAACAGCAUGCACAUCUGUUAGAAGAAUGCUGGAACGACUAAUGGGAAGGUGUAGCCCAACGCGGGUCAGCAGAUCAUGGAGUUCAACGGAUCCCUUCUAUGCCAACGACAGGAGCAUCCUGACUCUCUCCACAAUGGACUCAGCCACUUGCUGACAGGGACAUUUUUGAGUGCCUUGUGGAAGCCCUGUGGCGCUCACACACCUGUAGCAGGUGCUGAGGCGAGCUCAGUGUCCGGCGCUGCCCCAGGAAGGCCCAGAGGACUCCUGAGUGCAGCCAGGGCUUGCCUGGCCUGGCAAAAUCUGCACUGCAAUUGCUUCCAGGAAUUUUUCUAAUUAUAUCUACAAAUUGCUAAAUAAGUUUUUUGUUUUUUGGGGUUUUUUUUUAAGGAAUGCUUUUACCUCAGACCAUUUGAUCCUUUUUGUUGCUGUAUGAGCAGAUUGGAAUCCUACAUUUAAUACUGGAGAUACCCCUGUAGGGCAAUGACAGAAAUCUUUCUCCUCCCAAAUUUGAGUGAUCCGAUUUGAAUCAAUUUGAAUCUGCACAAUUAAACUUUUAAAAGUUGUGUUUUUAAUGAUGACCCUUCCUUUUAAACACACAUUCAUUUUGAGCUGUCUUGCAGAUGCUGUCUUAGCAGUUUGUUACUUCUGUGGACAGUUACUCUAUUCUAUAAGCAAUCAUUUUAGUAAUUUUUGAGAGUUAAAUGCAAUUCAAAUAUUUAUGCUGGUGUAUGAGUGGCUAAUAUAUUAGUCAUUGCUUUGAAAAACACUUAACUGUGACAAAUCAGUAAUUUGUAAUAAUAAGGGAUAUAGCAGCUCAGUGUUCUCCUAAAGUCCAAUUCAGAAACCAGUCAUCUUUUAUUAUGCCCUGUAUGUUUUAUUAACAGUUCUGGAUCCUGACAUGGAAAAAUUUGUUAAGAAUUGGCGGGUUGAGCAGAAGUCUCACUAGCAUAAAUUUUUGAAUUAUUAAUCAUUUUAAAGUUGGGGAAUUUUUGCAUGUUUUGUUCUUUUUCAUGUAUUUAUAUUUGGUCACGUUGUACUUUGAAGAUAUAAUUAAUGCUUAAUUAUCUUCGUCUCUCGGAAGGAUCCGAGACCUUGAUGGCAAUGUUUUGAUACCUAAGUAUGCCAAUAAAAACCAAUUGCACAGUUGGAGCUCUGGGUGGUGCAUCCUGCAGGUGCCUCCCUGGCCCAGUACAGACCUGUCUGCAUGCUGGGGGCUGGGGAGCAGCAACAUUUCACUGUUCCCUCAGCCAGGGAGGCUGAACCACUGCUUGUCCUGGGAUGUGGGAGAUGAAGUGGAGGUGCCUUAGAACAGAGCUGUUCAUGGCUGGGGACUGGGAAAAGUGCUGCUGCUCCAGGACACCCCCUUUUGUCACCUCUGACAGUGACAUCCCAUCAAUAACUGGGAUACUUGUCCUUUCAGACACUUGAAAGUGUAAAGAUCCAUCUUAAAGUUAGCUCUGGGUAAAAACUGCAAAUCUGGGCCACUGCAAACCUGGCUGACUGUAACUGGGCUGCUGCCAGGGCAGUGCACCCCUCCUGUCAUCCCCAGUUCUCCCAGGUUCAAUGAGCAAAGGAACAGGUCCUGCUUUCCAGGGAUCACAUCCUUCAGAUGUUCCUGACCUACAAACAGCUCUGCUGUUCAUUUUCCUGCCCGUGACUUUAACUGGGAUUAUUUCAGCUCUCCUCUUGGAGCUUUGUUUUUGCAUUAGUGCCUGGCAGCUUCCCUCAGACCUGAAGGCUGCAGGUACCGUGGAGUUUACAAGAUCUCAGUGCUCAAGGCAACAUCUGCGUGGGAAAGAAAUGGUCAUUGCAACUUCAUUGUUAAAUUUCUAGUGACUUGAACUUGCACACAAGGGAUUUUCCCCACUGUUACAGGUAAAGAUCAGUUGAGAAAUUAAGAAGCUUUAAAAAUAAAUUACGAGACAAGAAGAAGGAACAAAAUACAGCAAACUUUCCUUUUAAAUAAGUGUUUAAUUCAACGUUCAUAGUGCAUUUUUGUAUCAUGUCCUCAGAUGCCUGAGUGCAGUGAAGCUUGAGGCUGAAAAUGUCAGUGUGCACUAGAUCCCCCCAGCGAGUGCCCAGGGGAUGAAGAAACACUAAAAUUGAGCUUUGUCUUCUCGUGCAGCAGGUAUGAACAUGUGACUAACCCCACUGCAUGGGGCUGAGAACCUGGAUCCAGCUGGAGAGGCAAUAAUCCAUCCAGUCCCCUCCAGAUCUGCAAGUAGUAGCAAAAUACAGUUUCACCAACUCCUCUAACUUCCUUUAAAUUUCAUAUCUAUCUUAAACCUGGGUUUAAAAUAGUAAUUUUCUUCCUAGUAGUUUCUCUUCCUAGGAGUUGUCAUGCUGCCAUGGAUACCUAGGAAAUGCAGAAUUAUUUACUACUCUAAUCAGAUAUCUGCUGUUUGGCUGUAUUUUACACCUCAGCCAGAGUGUUUCACCUUUCAGCAGUGCUUGUUUGUCCGUGCCAGGCCCAGCAUUGUCCUGUCAGUGUGUGUGAGCGUGUGCCCUCAUCCCUCCAUCCAUCAGUGUGUGGUUCGUGUGUCCUGCCCUGAGCCUGUUCCUUGUGUGAGGGGAGCAGAGGCUUUGCCCAAAACCCCACUCCAAGCAUUUCCAGUGGCCCAGCUCUGUAGGUGAUGUAUUUUGGCUUUUACCACACCAGUGUGUUGAGUAGAUUUGCACAAAAGCAGCGCAGUCGUGUAUUUGAAGAAUAAUUUGCACUCAUGAUGUGUUUCUUUAAAACCUUCCAUCUCCUCUCCUCCCUUUCCCCCUGCUUUCCCUUUUCCCAGUGUUUGUAAGGUUACCGAAGAAACUUGCAUUUAAACAAUUCAGGAAGGACUUAAGAAUCCAUCCCUCGGCCAAGCUCAAUGCUGCUCCCAAGGCGUCAGGACCGGCUCAGAGCCCUCCGAGCCGCCUGUGCUGCUGCUCCUUCGGGGACCUUGGUGCCGCUGCUGCCGCCGCCCGGCUCCGGCUGAGCCGCUCCGCGUCCCCGCGGGGGAACAGCUCCGGGACACAAACGCGCAGCUCCCGCAGGCUCAGAGCGACGCUUGGCUCGGCUGUCAGAGACCCCGGCAGCACCUCCGAGGCCUGGGGCUUUAUUCAUCUCUCCUCAGCAGUUUUCAAGGAAAUUCCUUCAAACUGCAGCAGGUUCUCACCCUUUUACGUUUUGACAACAGGAAAAAAGAUGAUCUGUGGAGCGUGCAGUUGAAAAGGGUUAAAAAUGAGGCGCACAUUGCUCCAGGAGGAUCUUAAUUUGUAUCUCAAAGAAUAUAUUUUUACAAUUCCUAGUUGCAGUCCUUAUGACAGAUUUCAGGUUUUAUGCAUACAAAAAUAAAUCAUCAUCUAGCCUCCUGUUUUUUUACUGAAGAGGGAUUGAGCUUGCUUCUUUGCAGGAAAAAACAAAUGGUUUCAUCUCUGCAAGUAUCUUUUAAAAGCUGUUGAUCCUUAAUUUUAGGCAGAUUAGGGGUGUUGCCUACUGGAAAUGAGCAAUAAGUAAUACAAAGAAUUUUGGACCUCUGACACUGUGGCUGCCUCAUGUUCUUUUUGCUCCUUUGACAGCGAGGCUGUGUGCUUGCUCCUUGUACAGCUUGGUCAGUAGUUGUUUUGAAAAUGGUUUAUGGAAAUUAUAUUUAUUAAAUAAAAUUUUCACUUCUA